UACGGAGGGUGCAAGCGUUAUCCGGAUUCACUGGGCUUAAAGGGUGCGUAGGUGGGUCUGUAAGUCAGUGGUGAAAUCUCCGAGCUUAACUCGGAAACUGCCAUUGAUACUAUAGGUCUUGAAUUAUCUGGAGGUGAGCGGAAUAUGUCAUGUAGCGGUGAAAUGCUUAGAUAUGACAUAGAACACCAAUUGCGAAGGCAGCUCACUACACAAUCAUUGACGCUGAGGCACGGAAGCGUGGGGAUCAAACAGG
This 253-nucleotide ribosomal RNA is filed under the name uncultured bacterium. Its description in RNAcentral is "partial 16S ribosomal RNA". It matches the Rfam family "Bacterial small subunit ribosomal RNA", at positions 524 to 776 of the family's 1533-position model. The record is from RNAcentral.